GAACUGCGAUAAGUAAUGUGAAUUGCAGAAUUCAGUGAAUCAUCGAGUCUUUGAACGCACAUUGCGCCCCCUGGCAUUCCGGGGGGCAUGCCUGUCCGAGCGUCAUUGCUGCCCUUCAAGCCCGGCUUGUGUGUUGGGUCGUCGUCCCCUCCGGGGGACGGGCCCGAAAGGCAGCGGCGGCACCGCGUCCGGUCCUCGAGCGUAUGGGGCUUUGUCACCCGCUCGAUAAGGACCGGCCGGGCGCCAGCCGGCGUCUCCAACCUUUUUUUCUCAGGUUGACCUCGGAUCAGGUAGGGAUAACCGCUGAACUUAAGC
Molecule: unclassified non-coding RNA, 315 nt
Filed under: plant metagenome
Description: partial contains 5.8S ribosomal RNA, internal transcribed spacer 2, and large subunit ribosomal RNA
Rfam family: 5.8S ribosomal RNA (bases 1-105)
Source: RNAcentral